AAUGAACGUUGGCGGCGUGGAUUAGGCAUGCAAGUCGUGCGCGAACUGUAGCAGUUCAGGGAGAGCGGCGAAAGGGAGAGUAAUACAUAGGUACCUACCCCCGGGCCUGGGAUAGCGGCGGGAAACUGCCGGUAAUACCAGAUAACGUCCCCGGACCAAAGAUGUGACUUCACCUGGGGAGGGGCCUAUGGCCUAUCAGCUUGUUGGCAGGGUAACGGCCUGCCAAGGCAAAGACGGGUAUGGGGCGUGAGAGCGUGCCCCCACUCACUGGGACUGAGACACUGCCCAGACACCUACGGGUGGCUGCAGUCGAGAAUCUUCGGCAAUGGGCGCAAGCCUGACCGAGCGACGCCGCGUGCGGGAUGAAGGCCUUCGGGUUGUAAACCGCUGUCGUAGGGGAGGAAGGGCCUGUGAAGAACAGGACUUGACCGAUCCUAGGAGGAAGGGCCGGCUAAUCUCGUGCCAGCAGCCGCAGUAA
Molecule: ribosomal RNA, 478 nt
Filed under: uncultured bacterium
Lineage: Bacteria
Description: partial 16S ribosomal RNA
Rfam family: Bacterial small subunit ribosomal RNA
Source: RNAcentral